Molecule: ribosomal RNA, 1382 nt
Filed under: Salmonella enterica subsp. enterica serovar Infantis
Lineage: Bacteria; Pseudomonadati; Pseudomonadota; Gammaproteobacteria; Enterobacterales; Enterobacteriaceae
Also listed under: 1 other name
Description: partial 23S ribosomal RNA
Rfam family: Bacterial large subunit ribosomal RNA
Source: RNAcentral
AAUCCAUAGGUUAAUGAGGCGAACCGGGGGAACUGAAACAUCUAAGUACCCCGAGGAAAAGAAAUCAACCGAGAUUCCCCCAGUAGCGGCGAGCGAACGGGGAGGAGCCCAGAGCCUGAAUCAGCAUGUGUGUUAGUGGAAGCGUCUGGAAAGGCGCGCGAUACAGGGUGACAGCCCCGUACACAAAAGCGCAUGUGCUGUGAGCUCGAUGAGUAGGGCGGGACACGUGGUAUCCUGUCUGAAUAUGGGGGGACCAUCCUCCAAGGCUAAAUACUCCUGACUGACCGAUAGUGAACCAGUACCGUGAGGGAAAGGCGAAAAGAACCCCGGCGAGGGGAGUGAAAAAGAACCUGAAACCGUGUACGUACAAGCAGUGGGAGCACAGGUUUACCUGUGUGACUGCGUACCUUUUGUAUAAUGGGUCAGCGACUUAUAUUCUGUAGCAAGGUUAACCGAAUAGGGGAGCCGGAGGGAAACCGAGUCUUAAUUGGGCGUUAAGUUGCAGGGUAUAGACCCGAAACCCGGUGAUCUAGCCAUGGGCAGGUUGAAGGUUGGGUAACACUAACUGGAGGACCGAACCGACUAAUGUUGAAAAAUUAGCGGAUGACCUGUGGCUGGGGGUGAAAGGCCAAUCAAACCGGGAGAUAGCUGGUUCUCCCCGAAAGCUAUUUAGGUAGCGCCUCGUGAAUUCAUCUCCGGGGGUAGAGCACUGUUUCGGCUAGGGGGCCAUCCCGGCUUACCAACCCGAUGCAAACUGCGAAUACCGGAGAAUGUUAUCACGGGAGACACACGGCGGGUGCUAACGUCCGUCGUGAAGAGGGAAACAACCCAGACCGCCAGCUAAGGUCCCAAAGUCAUGGUUAAGUGGGAAACGAUGUGGGAAGGCCCAGACAGCCAGGAUGUUGGCUUAGAAGCAGCCAUCAUUUAAAGAAAGCGUAAUAGCUCACUGGUCGAGUCGGCCUGCGCGGAAGAUGUAACGGGGCUAAACCAUGCACCGAAGCUGCGGCAGCGAACGUAUCACUUAAAGCGAUUCAGCGGGUUACGAUUGACGGAGCGAAGCGACGUCAAAGCGUAUACAAAGUCGAGUCGGUUUAAGGAUACGUUCGUUGGGUAGGGGAGCGUUCUGUAAGCCUGCGAAGGUGGCCUGUGAGGGUUGCUGGAGGUAUCAGAAGUGCGAAUGCUGACAUAAGUAACGAUAAAGCGGGUGAAAAGCCCGCUCGCCGGAAGACCAAGGGUUCCUGUCCAACGUUAAUCGGGGCAGGGUGAGUCGACCCCUAAGGCGAGGCCGAAAGGCGUAGUCGAUGGGAAACGGGUUAAUAUUCCCGUACUUGGUGUUACUGCGAAGGGGGGACGGAGAAGGCUAUGUUGGCCGGGCGACGGUU